GGACCCGCACAAGUAGUGGAGCAUGUGGUUUAAUUCGAUGCAACGGAAGAACCUUACCAGGGUUUGACAUCCUGCGAAUCUCUUGGAAACGAGAGAGUGCCUUCGGGAACGCAGUGACAGGUGGUGCAUGGCUGUCGUCAGCUCGUGUCGUGAGAUGUUGGUUAAGUCCCGCAACGAGCGCAACCCACGUCUUUAGUUGCCAGCAUUUAGUUGGGCACUCUAGAGAGACCGCCGGUGACAAACCGGAGGAAGGUGUGGAUGACGUCAAGUCAUCAUGCCCCUUACGUCCUGGCUACACACGUACUACAAUGCUACGGACAAAGGGCAGCAAGUUCGCGAGGACAAG
Molecule: ribosomal RNA, 346 nt
Filed under: uncultured bacterium
Lineage: Bacteria
Description: bacterial SSU rRNA
Rfam family: Bacterial small subunit ribosomal RNA
Source: RNAcentral